RNAcentral lists this ribosomal RNA (252 nucleotides) under uncultured bacterium. RNAcentral's name for it is "partial 16S ribosomal RNA". It matches the Rfam family "Bacterial small subunit ribosomal RNA", at positions 524 to 776 of the family's 1533-position model. The record is from RNAcentral.
GACAGAGGGUGCAAACGUUGUUCGGAAUUACUGGGCGUAAAGCGCGUGUAGGCGGCUCGGAAAGUCGGAUGUGAAAGCCCUGGGCUUAACCUAGGAAGUGCAUUCGAAACUCCCGAGCUUGAGUUCUGGAGAGGAAGGUGGAAUUCCCGGUGUAGCAGUGAAAUGCGUAGAGAUCGGGAGGAACACCAGUGGCGAAGGCGGCCUCUGGACCAAUACUGACGCUCAUGCACGAAAGCGUGGGGAGCAAACAGG